RNAcentral lists this ribosomal RNA (312 nucleotides) under Triticum aestivum (bread wheat). Its description in RNAcentral is "partial small subunit ribosomal RNA". The record is from RNAcentral. Lineage: Eukaryota; Viridiplantae; Streptophyta; Magnoliopsida; Poales; Poaceae.
AUGGUAUAUGCUGUGAAUGAGGCGUCAAGAAUGGGGUGCCAAAGAGUCAUCCUGGAGACAAAUGCAGCUGUAUUGAAACAAGCAAUAACAAGUGACCUGUAUGACUACUCGAGUCUAGGCGUAGUGUUUAAAGAAAUUAGAGCAGUGAUGCAAUCAUCCUUCCAAUCCUGUAAAGUAGAAACUUGUCCAAGGGCAUGUAAUAUUCCUGCACACUGUUUAGCUGCUCAUGGUGUAACUAUGGAGCGGAGGAGCUAUCAGAUAUGGCUCGAUCCACUUCCUAGGGAUGUAAAAUACCUUGUCGCUGGUGAGUCC